GCGGGGACCUCGGAGGGAGCCCGGCGGCUUCGGCCACCUGUCCCCACAGAUGCUGCAGGUGACAUGAGCUCUCCAGAUGGGCCCAGCUUCCCGUCGGGGCUGCUCUCAGGGGGCGCCUCUCCCAGCGGCGACGAGGGCUUCUUCCCCUUUGUGCUGGAGCGGCGGGACUCAUUCCUGGGAGGGGGCCCAGGGCCUGAGGAGCCCGAGGACCUAGCCUUGCAGCUGCAGCAGAAGGAGAAAGACCUGCUAUUGGCCGCGGAGCUCGGCAAGAUGCUUCUGGAGCGAAAUGAAGAGCUGCGGCGGCAGCUGGAGAUGCUGAGCGCCCAGCACUUGGAGCGUGAGGAACGGCUCCAGCAGGAGAACCACGAGCUCCGGCGAGGCCUGGCAGCCCGAGGAGCCGAGUGGGAGGCCAGGGCCGUGGAGCUGGAAGGGGACGUGGAGGCCCUGCGGGCCCAGCUUGGGGAGCAGCGCUCGGAGCAGCAGGACAGUGGGCGAGAACGGGCACGGGCCCUCAGCGAGCUCAGCGAGCAGAACCUCCGGCUCAGCCAGCAGCUGGCUCAGGCCUCCCAGACUGAACAGGAACUUCAGAGGGAACUGGACACCCUUCGGGGACAGUGCCAGGCUCAGGCACUGGCUGGGGCAGAGCUGAGGACGCGGCUGGAGAGUCUGCAGGGGGAAGUGAGUGUCAGCUGGGGCUGGCGGAUUAUCUGAGCCAAAAAAGCCGGGCUGGGGGCGGGGAGGGGGCUGCCCCCCUCCCCAGCUCUCAGGCCUUUCCCCAGAACCAGAUGCUGCAGAGCCGCCGGCAGGACCUGGAGGCCCAGAUCCGAGGCCUGCGUGAGGAGGUGGAGAAGGGCCAGGGCAGACUGCAGACCACCCAUGAGGAGUUGCUGCUGCUGAGGCGGGAGCGGCGGGAGCACAGCCUGGAGGUGACCUGCACGACUGGGGGACUACAACUGCCUGGACACUUAGCAAUGGCUUCAGGGCUUUCUGGGAGAUGAGGCCAGAGCUGGAUCACUGGGAGGCCCAGAGGCUGGCCCACAAGAACAUGGGCAUUAGCCCAUGGGCAAGUGGGAGCUACGGAAGGCUGUUGAGCAGGGGAGGCAUGCUCUUAGAGUGCAUCAGAAGAUGGAAGAGCAGGAAGCUGGAAGCUGAAAGAGCAGGGAGGGGGCUGAUGCCAGAGCUCAGGCCAGGAAUGACAGCCCCUAGACCAUGGCUGGGCAAUGGAGAUGGAGAAAAAGAAAUGAAAAGAGAACGCAAGGUCUGAUGUUAGAGAUCAAAGGAGUCUGCACUUUGGGGUCAGCUUGCCUGCCUUCGCAUCCCAGUGUCCCUUCUUACUACUGUGGGACAAACAGCCUCAGUAGCACCAAUAAAUGCUGCAUCAAACAAUUACUGAAUGAGGAGAUAGACUGGGCAGGGG
Molecule: small RNA, 1417 nt
Filed under: Pongo abelii (Sumatran orangutan)
Lineage: Eukaryota; Metazoa; Chordata; Mammalia; Primates; Hominidae
Description: retained intron
Source: RNAcentral